UAUCAUUAAGCGGAGGAAAAGAAACUAACCAGGAUUGACCUAGUAAGGGCGACUGAAGCGUCACAAGCUCACCAUGUGAAUCUGCGCCCUCUUGUAGGACGCCGAAUUGUGGUCUGGAAGCGUUUGCGCCACUGGUCGGACCAAGUCCCUUGGAACAGGGCAGCUAAGAGGGUGACACUCCCGUACGUCCGACUGGGUAGCGAGCGUUAACGAGUCGAGUUGUUUGGGAUUGCAGCUCUAAGUAGGUGGUAAAUUCCAUCCAAAGCUAAAUAUUGGUGGGAGACCGAUAGCGAACAAGUACCGUGAGGGAAAGAUGCAAAGAACUUUGAAAAGAGAGUUAAAGAGUACCUGAAAUUGCUGUAAGGGAAGCGAAGGAAAGCAGUGCGAGCUCGGUCAUACUUCCCCUUGCGCUUGCGGAAGGGGCGCUGUGUCCAGCGUUGUCCCGUUCCAUUGUGUUACAGCCCAAACGGCCCGGAGGGAGUUGACCUCUGACGCCUGGCGCUAGACGCGAUGGAAUCGGGACGAAAUGCCUUUCUUCUCCCCGUCUAGAAACACGGACCAAGGAGUCUAASAUAUGUGCGAGUACUGGGGCGACAACCCCCCRUGCGAAAUGAAAGUGAUAGUGGCUGCARGGCGUCAAACACCUGCACAGUCCGCCGGCCUCAAUCCCUCGGGAGAACGGUMUGAGUGUGAGCAUACAUGUUGGGACCCGAAAGAUGGUGAACUAUGCUUGAGUAGGGUCAAGCCAGGGGAAACUCUGGUGGAGGCUCGUAGCGAUUGUGACGUGCAAAUCGAUCGUCAAACUUGAGUAUAGGGGCGAAAGACUAAUCGAACUAUCUAGUAGCUGGUUCCCUCCGAAAUU
This 862-nucleotide ribosomal RNA is filed under the name Pinnularia sp. RNAcentral describes it as "partial 28S ribosomal RNA". Lineage: Eukaryota; Bacillariophyta; Bacillariophyceae; Sellaphorales; Pinnulariaceae. The record is from RNAcentral.